RNAcentral lists this ribosomal RNA (257 nucleotides) under uncultured bacterium. Its description in RNAcentral is "partial 16S ribosomal RNA". It matches the Rfam family "Bacterial small subunit ribosomal RNA", at positions 524 to 777 of the family's 1533-position model. The record is from RNAcentral.
UACGGGGGGGAGCAAGCGUUGUUCGGAUUUACUGGGCGUAAAGGGCGCGUAGGCGGUCGUGACAAGUCACUUGUGAAAUCUCCGGGCUUAACUCGGAACGGUCAAGUGAUACUGUCGGGCUAGAGUACAGAAGGGGCAACUGGAAUUCUCGGUGUAGCGGUGAAAUGCGUAGAUAUCGAGAGGAACACCUGCGGCGAAGGCGGGUUGCUGGGCUGAUACUGACGCUGAGGCGCGAAAGCCAGGGGGAGCGAAACGGG